UUAAUUAGUAUAGCCUGUUUUAGUGAUCUCCUCAAAUCUUUACAGGCUAUGCUAAUCUAUGC
This is a microRNA precursor of Scleropages formosus (Asian bonytongue), 62 nucleotides long. It matches the Rfam family "mir-2187 microRNA precursor family". The record is from Rfam. NCBI's taxonomy places the organism in Eukaryota, Metazoa, Chordata, Actinopteri, Osteoglossiformes, Osteoglossidae.